Topomyia yanbarensis is the source of this 928-nucleotide long non-coding RNA. RefSeq lists it as uncharacterized. The transcript is spliced from 3 exons. NCBI's taxonomy places the organism in Eukaryota, Metazoa, Arthropoda, Insecta, Diptera, Culicidae. The record is from RefSeq and is a predicted model, not a curated record.
AUAAGUUGUUCCAUUUUUCUUCUUCACCCAGUGAAGAGGAAAAGAACUCACCUCAACACGCAUACGUGUUGAGAACUGUCAAAGUGGAAUGUUUACGUUUAGCUGUGGACUACUGUUAAUUUUUUCUAGCCAGUUCAAAUAUUAUGGAAUGUUACGACAGUAACUGUUUCAUUUGCUAAAAAUUUCCGUGGUACCUGUCGCUCAACAAGAUUCUGGUGGUUCAUUUAACGAUUCGUUAUCCAUUGGCCGGUUGGAAGGUUAAUCUGCUGCGAAGGAAAUUUCACACAAAGGAGUUAGUUAUUCUUUUAUGUGAGUUUUAACAAUAUUAGCUCACACUCCGCUUUUCACAUACUCGUGUGUCGGUUAUGCGAGCUGGUUUCACAACGAGAAAAUAUCACAGGGGAUGCAGACCGUCUCGUUCGGCAAUCAUCCGCUACUGCGACUAUUCAAUUAAUUGAAUAAAGAUUGACUUUCCUUUCAUAAACAGCGUUCCAGGACCAAUUCCUGCCGCUAUAUUUUCAAUCGGUGGAUAUCGUACGGGUCUAUCCCGAUUUUUGGUGUACAGUUUGUUACUGCCCUCUCUUGGCUGGGCUAUAAAUCGACUCAUUGAUGUACGUUUGCCAUCAAUAGUAAACGAGCUGCUUUAAUUCAACAACCGUUUUGAAGAUAAUCGUUUCGUUUCAGGGUUCGAACCACAUAUUGCAUGAUGCAGAACGAUUGGCCUACCAAACUCCGCUUCUUAGCGUGUUGGUCCAAUACAGAACGGUGGCUAUCUGGGAGAUAAAAAAAAGUUACGUCGAACUACCAUCAACCCAGGAAACCAUGUUUGAAACCGUCCAGAAACACCGAUGCAGCUUUGAAACUACCUCGCCGGACAAAGUUUUUUUUAUAUACAUAUAUACAAUAAUGGGAAAAUUUUACUAUAUAC